AGUGAACGCUGGCGGUAGGCCUAACACAUGCAAGUCGAACGGCAGCACAGUAAGAGCUUGCUCUUACGGGUGGCGAGUGGCGGACGGGUGAGGAAUACAUCGGAAUCUACUUUUUCGUGGGGGAUAACGUAGGGAAACUUACGCUAAUACCGCAUACGACCUACGGGUGAAAGCAGGGGAUCUUCGGACCUUUCGCGAUUGAAUGAGCCGAUGUCGGAUUAGCUAGUUGGCGGGGUAAGGGCCCACCAAGGCGACGAUCCGUAGCUGGUCUGAGAGGAUGAUCGGCCACACUGGAACUGAGACACGGUCCAGACUCCUACGGGAGGCAGCAGUGGGGAAUAUUGGACAAUGGGCGAAAGCCUGAUCCAGCCAUACCGCGUGGGUGAAGAAGGCCUUCGGGUUGUAAAGCCCUUUUGUUGGGAAAGAAAAGCAGCAGGUUAAUACCCCGCUGUUCUGACGGUACCCAAAGAAUAAGCACCGGCUAACUUCGUG
Molecule: ribosomal RNA, 492 nt
Filed under: uncultured bacterium
Lineage: Bacteria
Description: partial 16S ribosomal RNA
Rfam family: Bacterial small subunit ribosomal RNA
Source: RNAcentral